RNAcentral lists this long non-coding RNA (349 nucleotides) under Rosa chinensis. RNAcentral's name for it is "sRNA RchiOBHm_Chr7g0204001". Lineage: Eukaryota; Viridiplantae; Streptophyta; Magnoliopsida; Rosales; Rosaceae. The record is from RNAcentral.
AGAGUCAGUUUAUGCUGCAUGUUUGCUGCCCUUUUAUUAUCAUAUAGAAACUGCGUCCAUUUUAAUGUGUGUGUGUAUACCUUACAUUGAAUAUUGUUAUUGACCUAAACAUGCUAGUCUUGAUAUGUUUUCAAUGAUUUGCGUACUAGGUGCAUUCUUCGAUGAACAUAUAGCAGAACAAAUUUUUGGCAAUAAAGGAUUGCAGCUAUUGGUCGGCCACUGAAGUGUUUCUUGGUAGGAGACUUGUGCUGAUUAAUUAGCCAACUUGCCACUCAAUUCUCUUUUAUUAGUACGCUAUUUGUUCAACGGUUUCCUAAAUUUGGGUUGUAGCAAUAUUUACAUACAUUGU